GUCCCUGUAGCGCAAUGUAAAGCGCGUUGGACUUCUAAUCCAGAGGUCGUGGUUUCGAAUCCCACCUGGGAUG
This 73-nucleotide transfer RNA is filed under the name Trichonephila clavipes. It matches the Rfam family "tRNA". Rfam says of the family: Transfer RNA (tRNA) molecules are approximately 80 nucleotides in length. Their secondary structure includes four short double-helical elements and three loops (D, anti-codon, and T loops). Lineage: Eukaryota; Metazoa; Arthropoda; Arachnida; Araneae; Nephilidae. The record is from Rfam by way of RNAcentral.